UAAUUUUUUUAUAAUUCAGGUGCAUUAGCAUAAUAGGGAAUCCCGUGCAAUUCGGGAACGGACCCGCCGCUGUAAUUGGGGACGAACACUGCAUUUAUGUCACUGUUUCUAUUUGAGAAAUGGGAAGGCGCAGUUAGUAGAGCGAUCCAAAAGUCAGAAGACCUGCCUGAAUGAGUGGUUUGAU
Molecule: non-coding RNA, 184 nt
Filed under: Candidatus Magnetoglobus
Lineage: Bacteria; Pseudomonadati; Thermodesulfobacteriota; Desulfobacteria; Desulfobacterales; Desulfobacteraceae
Also listed under: 1 other name
Source: RNAcentral